CCAUGCAAGUCGAACGAUGAUUAUCUAGCUUGCUAGAUAUGAUUAGUGGCGGACGGGUGAGUAACAUUUAGGAAUCUGCCUAGUAGUGGGGGAUAGCUCGGGGAAACUCGAAUUAAUACCGCAUACGACCUACGGGUGAAAGGGGGCGCAAGCUCUUGCUAUUAGAUGAGCCUAAAUCAGAUUAGCUAGUUGGUGGGGUAAAGGCCCACCAAGGCGACGAUCUGUAACUGGUCUGAGAGGAUGAUCAGUCACACCGGAACUGAGACACGGUCCGGACUCCUACGGGAGGCAGCAGUGGGGAAUAUUGGACAAUGGGGGCAACCCUGAUCCAGCCAUGCCGCGUGUGUGAAGAAGGCCUUUUGGUUGUAAAGCACUUUAAGCAGGGAGGAGAGGCUAAUGGUUAAUACCCAUUAGAUUAGACGUUACCUGCAGAAUAAGCACCGGCUAACUCUGUGCCAGCAGCCGCGGUAAUACAGAGGGUGCGAGCGUUAAUCGGAAUUACUGGGCGUAAAGCGAGUGUAGGUGGCUCAUUAAGUCACAUGUGAAAUCCCCGGGCUUAACCUGGGAACUGCAUGUGAUACUGGUGGUGCUAGAAUAUGUGAGAGGGAAGUAGAAUUCCAGGUGUAGCGGUGAAAUGCGUAGAGAUCUGGAGGAAUACCGAUGGCGAAGGCAGCUUCCUGGCAUAAUAUUGACACUGAGAUUCGAAAGCGUGGGUAGCAAACAGGAUUAGAUACCCUGGUAGUCCACGCCGUAAACGAUGUCUACUAGCCGUUGGGGUCCUUGAGACUUUAGUGGCGCAGUUAACGCGAUAAGUAGACCGCCUGGGGAGUACGGCCGCAAGGUUAAAACUCAAAUGAAUUGACGGGGGCCCGCACAAGCGGUGGAGCAUGUGGUUUAAUUCGAUGCAACGCGAAGAACCUUACCUGGUCUUGACAUAGUGAGAAUCCUGCAGAGAUGCGGGAGUGCCUUCGGGAUUCACAUACAGGUGCUGCAUGGCUGUCGUCAGCUCGUGUCGUGAGAUGUUGGGGUAAGUCCCGCAACGAGCGCAACCCUUUUCCUUAUUUGCCACCGGGUUAAGCCGGGAAUUUUAAGGUACUGCCAUUACAAACUGGAGGAAGGC
RNAcentral lists this ribosomal RNA (1120 nucleotides) under Enhydrobacter aerosaccus. RNAcentral describes it as "bacterial SSU rRNA". It matches the Rfam family "Bacterial small subunit ribosomal RNA", at positions 53 to 1174 of the family's 1533-position model. The record is from RNAcentral. Lineage: Bacteria; Pseudomonadati; Pseudomonadota; Alphaproteobacteria; Hyphomicrobiales.